RNAcentral lists this non-coding RNA (169 nucleotides) under Rubrobacter taiwanensis. RNAcentral describes it as "6S / SsrS RNA". It matches the Rfam family "6S / SsrS RNA". Rfam says of the family: E. coli 6S RNA was the first non coding RNA to be sequenced, but its function was unknown until recently. It consists of 184 nucleotides that fold into an extended hairpin structure with a large single-stranded internal bulge. Lineage: Bacteria; Bacillati; Actinomycetota; Rubrobacteria; Rubrobacterales; Rubrobacteraceae. The record is from Rfam by way of RNAcentral.
CAGGCUCGACCCUGUGCGUUAGCGGCGAAGACAUUUUGGGCCAACACCCUAACUGACGAGGGAGUCUCCAUUAAGGGCCUUGCUGCUCCGGACGAGCGCACCGUCCUCUGGGACACCCACCUGCGAAGCAGGUUCAAAAAAUUCGCCGCGACGGCAGGGUGGAGCCUUU